GUUCAUGACUCAGAGGAGUUCAUAAAAGAAGAAGAAUUACCACAUCUUAUGUGCUGUACAAAUAGAUGAAGGUUAAUUAACAGUGUAACUAAAUAGUCAUGCUGCCAGUCUCCUUUGAACAGUU
This 124-nucleotide small nucleolar RNA is filed under the name Erinaceus europaeus (western European hedgehog). The record is from RNAcentral. Lineage: Eukaryota; Metazoa; Chordata; Mammalia; Eulipotyphla; Erinaceidae.